Molecule: ribosomal RNA, 253 nt
Filed under: uncultured bacterium
Lineage: Bacteria
Description: partial 16S ribosomal RNA
Rfam family: Bacterial small subunit ribosomal RNA
Source: RNAcentral
GACGUAGGGUGCAAGCGUUGUCCGGACUUAUUGGGCGUAAAGAGCUCGUAGGCGGCUUGUUGCGUCGACUGUGAAAACCCGCGGCUUAACCGCGGGCUUGCAGUUGAUACGGGCAGGCUAGAGUUCGGUAGGGGAGACUGGAAUUCCUGGUGUAGCGGUGAAAUGCGCAGAUAUCAGGAGGAACACCGGUGGCGAAGGCGGGUCUCUGGGCCGAUACUGACGCUGAGGAGCGAAAGCGUGGGGAGCGAACAGG